This 75-nucleotide transfer RNA is filed under the name Flavobacteriales bacterium. RNAcentral's name for it is "tRNA-Thr". It matches the Rfam family "tRNA". From Rfam's summary of the family: Transfer RNA (tRNA) molecules are approximately 80 nucleotides in length. The record is from RNAcentral. Lineage: Bacteria; Pseudomonadati; Bacteroidota; Flavobacteriia; Flavobacteriales. RNAcentral also lists the same sequence under 2 other names.
GCCUACGUAGCUCAGCGGUAGAGCACUUCCUUGGUAAGGAAGAGGUCACCGGUUCAAGUCCGGUCGUAGGCUCCA